GUCCACACCGUAAACGUUGGGCGCUAGGUGUGGGACUCAUUCCACGAGUUCCGUGCCGCAGCUAACGCAUUAAGCGCCCCGCCUGGGGAGUACGGCCGCAAGGCUAAAACUCAAAGGAAUUGACGGGGGCCCCGCACAAGCGGCGGAGCAUGCGGAUUAAUUCGAUGCAACGCGAAGAACCUUACCUGGGUUUGACAUAUGCGAGAACUCUCUAGAGAUAGAGGGCUCUUUGGACACUCGCAUACAGGUGGUGCAUGGCUGUCGU
This 265-nucleotide ribosomal RNA is filed under the name uncultured bacterium. RNAcentral describes it as "partial 16S ribosomal RNA". It matches the Rfam family "Bacterial small subunit ribosomal RNA", at positions 793 to 1055 of the family's 1533-position model. The record is from RNAcentral.